This is a long non-coding RNA of Manihot esculenta (cassava), 2042 nucleotides long. RefSeq lists it as uncharacterized. Lineage: Eukaryota; Viridiplantae; Streptophyta; Magnoliopsida; Malpighiales; Euphorbiaceae. The transcript is spliced from 3 exons. The record is from RefSeq and is a predicted model, not a curated record.
AAGUAGGAUGAGGUAUCCUAGGUACAGAGUAUAAUGCUUUUCUAUUGCUCACCAAGUGGAAACAAUUAUAUUUCACUCGGAUAACUUCCCUCCCACUAAAAUAUGAUGUCUUCAAAUGCUUGAAUACCAGAUUCGGGGAGAAUUGUUAUUUUGCAGUUUCAGAGGUGCUUAUGGAUGAGGUUACUACUCUCCGGAAUUUCUCUCUGUCCAAGGACACCAUCAAGUGAGCCGUCAAGGCUAUUACUUCUCAGAAAACUAUGGAGGUGGUAACUGAGAUGCUCAGCCCAAAGCCUUCGUCUAUCAGAGAUUUGGAACCUCCAGUUCCUACUGUCCAACCUUUCUAGGGUGUUGGUGUUGGAUCUAUUCAACCCAUUUCCUUCUGUCCUUUUGAGACAAUUGGAGCUAGUGCUAACUGCAUUGCUGUUACUUGCCACACUAGGACUCCCACUGACCACUCGGAAGCUUUGAUUGUUGUUACCUCCGAGCCUUCCUCCCCUGUUAUUGAGGUGUUUGAUGGACUAAGGAGGAAGAACUUGAGGUUUCCUUCCAAGCCAAUCACUAAUCCUUCUGAGGUUCCUAUAAAAAGGAGAAGGUUGGUGAAGGAGGCUGACUUGAGUGCAUCAAAGAAAGGUAAUGCCUCUUCCUCUUGCAAGGAAGUGUCUACUCCAACCCAUGUGAGUCGAAGCAAUGGUGACCUAUCUUUGGGUGUUGGCAAUGAGAUCCAAUAUGCCUUAGUUCCUUAUGAAUCUGGGUUUCACUUUCAACUGAACCUGAAGUCUACCCCUACCCUUUAUCACCGAGUUAUUGAAUAAUCAUGUUUUUGGGACUUCUCCAGACCUUAAUGAUCCCUGGUAGUGGGUACACUUUGCAAUAUUGUAAAAUCAAGUAAGCAAUUUGUGACUUAUAGUCCUAAAGUAGUGGAGGACAUAUUUGCUUACAUUUACUUAGGCCUCCUUUGUGGUUGCAUUUCUUAAAUGACUUUUGAACUCUACUUUUCCAUUUAUACCUCCUUAGUGCUUUGAUAGAAUUGAGGAAAAAGUGAUGAGUGCUCGCAAAUCAGCCUGUCAAGAUGUGGAAAAGGCUGAGGAUGAGGAGGUUGCUCGUGUGGCUGCCUCUGUGGAAGAUCAGCACAAGGUUGAUGUUAAUCAUUUAAAAGAGCUCCUUCAUGAGAUUCAACUAUGCAGCAACAGAGGAUCCUAGUUGGAGGCUUAAUUGGCUCAAGAGCAAGCAAAAGUAGAAGCCUGGACUGCCCAGGAGAAGGCUUAUGUGGAUCACAGGAUUAAGGGCUUCAUUGCUUAAGCUAUGGAAUUGGAAAAAGAAUUGGAGAAUAUAAAUGAGGAGCUAACUAAUGCUUGCGAUGAGUUGGCUAAGGCUCCUGAGGACAGACAUGCUUCUGAGUUGUUAAAGAAUCAGCUUAGGCAUGAAGUUUACUCUCUUUCUGAUAAGUGUAAGAAUAUGAGAUUACCAUUUUAGGUCUUCGAGAAGGUGCUGAAAUUGUUGCUUGGAGCCAAUAUAAAAAAAUUUUGAAGUCGAAUGAGUUUAAAGAGAAGGUUUUUAAUGCCUCCACGAGAUUCUAUGCCACUAGCUUCAAGCUACAUUUUAAAGGCUGCUUAUGAUGUACCUGAGACACCUUUGAAUGCAUUACGGGUAGUUGAAUAGAUUCUGAUGGUGAAGAAGUGUAGUAUGGCCUUGACGACUUAGACCUUCCUAAAGUGCAUCCUCUUACUUCUCAGAGUGUGUUAUCACAAGAUACUAUCGAGUUUGAUUAAGAGGCCAGUCAGAUGACUUUCGAUCACCUUAUGCUUGAGGCUCUAAAUGCCCAGAAUAUUCCACCUCCAAAUGGCGCUAUUUCAUUAGAUCCAACUGUCAAAAAUGCUUAUACUUUCUCUACUGUUACUAGAGUUGAGCUUGACCUGACUGGUGAUCUUGCCUCUUCUAGUGAAGCCCAAAAUUGAUCUUAUAAGACAUGUAAAUGUUUGAAAAUUUCUGGUAGAUGUUUCAUACUUGCUUUGUAAUUUUAUUUUAUUAUUAAUGAAAUUAUC